GCUGAUGGCGUGCCUUUUGAAGAAUGAGCCUGCGAGUUAGUGGUAUGUCGCGAGGUUAACCCGUGUGGGGAAGCCGUAGCGAAAGCGAGUCCUAAUAGGGCGUUUGAGUGGCAUGCUCUAGACCCGAAGCGGAGUGAUCUACCCAUGGCCAGUGUGAAGCGACGGUAAGACGUCGUGGAGGCGCGAACCCACUUAGGUUGAAAACUGAGGGGAUGAGUUGUGGGUAGGGGUGAAAGGCCAAUCAAACUCCGUGAUAGCUGGUUCUCCCCGAAAUGCAUUUAGGUGCAGCGUCGCAUGUUUCACCUCGGAGGUAGAGCUACUGGAUGGCCGAUGGGCCCUACAAGGUUACUGACGUCAGCCAAACUCCGAAUGCCGAGGUGUGAGAGUGCGGCAGUGAGACUGUGGGGGAUAAGCUUCAUAGUCGAGAGGGAAACAGCCCAGAUCGCCGGCUAAGGCCCCUAAGCGUGUACUAAGUGGAAAAGGAUGUGGGAUCGCUGAGACAGCCAGGAGGUUGGCUUAGAAGCAGCCACCCUUGAAAGAGUGCGUAAUAGCUCACUGGUCAAGUGGUCCUGCGCCGACAAUUUAGCGGGGCUCAAGUACACCGCCGAAGCCGCGGCAUUCAUACAAUAACCUCCUCCGGGCAGGUGUAUGGAUGGGUAGGGGAGCGUCGUGUGGCCAUAGAAGCGCCGGAGUGAUCCAGGCGUGGAGGCCACACGAGUGAGAAUGCAGGCAUGAGUAGCGAAUGACGAGUGAGAAACUCGUCCGCCGAAUGAUCAAGGGUUCCUGGGUCAAGCUAAUCUGCCCAGGGUGAGUCGGGACCUAAGGCGAGGCCGACAGGCGUAGUCGAUGGACAACGGGUUGAUAUUCCCGUACCCGUGU
Molecule: ribosomal RNA, 879 nt
Filed under: Dietzia maris
Lineage: Bacteria; Bacillati; Actinomycetota; Actinomycetes; Mycobacteriales; Dietziaceae
Description: partial 23S ribosomal RNA
Rfam family: Bacterial large subunit ribosomal RNA
Source: RNAcentral